CAGAGGGUGCGAGCGUUGUUCGGAAUUACUGGGCGUAAAGCGCGCGCAGGCGGUCCUUUAAGUCUACCCGUGAAAUGCCGGAGCUCAACUCCGUGCACGCCGGGGGAUACUGGGGGACUGGAGACAUGUAGAGGCAAGCGGAAUUCCGGGUGUAGCGGUGGAAUGCGUAGAUAUCCGGAAGAACACCUGAGGCGAAGGCGGCUUGCUGGGCAUGAUCUGACGCUGAGGCGCGAAAGCGUGGGGAGCAAACAGGAUUAGAUACCCUGGUAGUCCACGCCGUAAACGAUGGGCACUAGACGCGGGUGGGAUCGACCCCUUCCGUGUCGCAGCCAACGCGAUAAGUGCCCCGCCUGGGGAGUACGGCCGCAAGGCUG
This 374-nucleotide ribosomal RNA is filed under the name uncultured organism. RNAcentral describes it as "bacterial SSU rRNA". It matches the Rfam family "Bacterial small subunit ribosomal RNA", at positions 526 to 896 of the family's 1533-position model. The record is from RNAcentral.